RNAcentral lists this ribosomal RNA (1103 nucleotides) under Sordariomycetes sp. genotype 405. RNAcentral's name for it is "eukaryotic LSU rRNA". The stretch from base 520 to 1103 matches the Rfam family "Eukaryotic large subunit ribosomal RNA", at positions 1 to 597 of the family's 3401-position model. Lineage: Eukaryota; Fungi; Ascomycota; Sordariomycetes. The record is from RNAcentral.
GGAUCAUUACAGAGUUUCGUACUCCAAACCCUUUGUGAACAUACCUGUUUUCGUUGCUUCGGCAGGUGAAGGCGGAUGGCCUCCGGGCCUCCCGCCGCCGCCGGGUCCGGGAAACCGGCCGGGUGGGCCUGCCGGAGGGCACAGACUCUUGUAUUAAACGUACCUCUCUGAGUUAUCUUUUACAAACAAGUAAAAACUUUCAACAACGGAUCUCUUGGUUCUGGCAUCGAUGAAGAACGCAGCGAAAUGCGAUAAGUAAUGUGAAUUGCAGAAUUCAGUGAAUCAUCGAAUCUUUGAACGCACAUUGCGCCCGCCAGUAUUCUGGCGGGCAUGCCUGUCCGAGCGUCAUUUCAACCCUCAGGCCCUGGUUGCCUGGUGUUGGGGCGCCGCGCACCCCUAGCGGGCGCGGGCCCCGAAAGUCAGUGGCGGGCUCGCCAGGACUCCGAGCGCAGUAAUAUUGCCUCGCUGCGGAGCGCCUGGUGGGUUACCCAGCCGUAAAACACCCCAAAUUCUAAAGGUUGACCUCGGAUCAGGUAGGAAUACCCGCUGAACUUAAGCAUAUCAAUAAGCGGAGGAAAAGAAACCAACAGGGAUUGCCCUAGUAACGGCGAGUGAAGCGGCAACAGCUCAAAUUUGAAAUCUGGCUUCGGCCCGAGUUGUAAUUUGUAGAGGAUGCUUCUGGCGCGGUGCCUUCUGAGUUCCCUGGAACGGGACGCCAUAGAGGGUGAGAGCCCCGUACGGUUGGACACCAAGCCUGUGUGAAGCUCCUUCGACGAGUCGAGUAGUUUGGGAAUGCUGCUCAAAAUGGGAGGUAUAUCUCUUCUAAAGCUAAAUACCGGCCAGAGACCGAUAGCGCACAAGUAGAGUGAUCGAAAGAUGAAAAGCACCUUGAAAAGGGGGUUAAACAGCACGUGAAAUUGUUGAAAGGGAAGCGCCUAUGACCAGACUUGUGUCCGGCGGAUCACCCAGCGUUCUCGCUGGGGCACUCCGCCGGGUCCAGGCCAGCAUCGGUUUCCGCCGGGGGAUAAAGGCUUGGGGAACGUAGCUCCUCCGGGAGUGUUAUAGCCCCUUGUGUAAUAUCCUGGCGGGGACCGAGGUACGCG